UAGUUAUUGUGAUAUUGGCCUGGUUCACUCAGACAUCAUCUGUAUCACACAGUUCUGUCCUUGCCCUACAAACAACAACAUUGUAACUUUGUGUGUGUUGUGUUCGGUUUGAUUGAGCCGUGCCAAUAUCUCAGUGCUUCUU
Non-coding RNA from Phaseolus vulgaris (common bean), 142 nucleotides. NCBI's taxonomy places the organism in Eukaryota, Viridiplantae, Streptophyta, Magnoliopsida, Fabales, Fabaceae. The record is from Rfam.